GGUGGCUUAGUGGUAGAGUGUUUGCCUUGCAUGCAUGAAGCCCUGGGUUCAAUUCCUCAGCACCA
This 65-nucleotide transfer RNA is filed under the name Dipodomys ordii (Ord's kangaroo rat). It matches the Rfam family "tRNA". From Rfam's summary of the family: Transfer RNA (tRNA) molecules are approximately 80 nucleotides in length. Their secondary structure includes four short double-helical elements and three loops (D, anti-codon, and T loops). Lineage: Eukaryota; Metazoa; Chordata; Mammalia; Rodentia; Heteromyidae. The record is from Rfam by way of RNAcentral.